UCUUCCAGAAGAAUGGUCUAGAUAAGUCCUAUUUGGAAAGGUUGAUGGAGAUGCCUAUGUACAAGGACAGUACAGGGCAUUACAACAGACAGGUUGUGACCAAGCUGCUCAACAACUACCGUUCUCAUGCUUCCAUUCUCAAAGAACCUAAUGAGAUGUUCUAUGACUCUGAACUCAAGGUUUGUGCAGAUCCAGUGUAUGUAACAGCUUUCUGUAAGUGGGAGUAUUU
Molecule: long non-coding RNA, 229 nt
Filed under: Penaeus japonicus
Lineage: Eukaryota; Metazoa; Arthropoda; Malacostraca; Decapoda; Penaeidae
Description: uncharacterized LOC122245116
Source: RNAcentral